This 425-nucleotide unclassified non-coding RNA is filed under the name Hevea brasiliensis (rubber tree). Lineage: Eukaryota; Viridiplantae; Streptophyta; Magnoliopsida; Malpighiales; Euphorbiaceae. The record is from RNAcentral.
GUUAUCCUGUCAGACAUUCUUUAUUAGUGCCUUGUCUUUCCCAACACGUACAAUGCAAAUGACCGUAAAUAGUCUUAAAGUUUGCGCAUAUGCAGAGGAGCACCAUACUGAGGAUGAAUAGUCACUACUGCAAAUGGAGCAUGUGUAUAUGAUGGUGAGAGUUCAAAGGAGAACCUUUGUAGUAUCAUUGCUAACGCCAUUUUCGCUUCCAUCAUUGCAAAGUUUUGUCCGAUGCAAACACGGGGUCCCCAGCUAAAUGGGAUAAAUGAAACUUGGCCUUUCGUUGCCUUUGACACUCCUUCGCUGAAUCUCUCUGGUUUGAAUUCCUUCGCGUCUUCACCCCAUAAUUCCUUGAUAUAAUGUACUAGGAUUGCGGGUAUAAUGAGUAGUACUUCAGCUGGCAGACUCAGCUCACCCAAUUUGAC